CAGACCUCUGAUCAGGAAAGACUACCCGCUGA
This 32-nucleotide ribosomal RNA is filed under the name Schistidium apocarpum. RNAcentral describes it as "partial 26S ribosomal RNA". RNAcentral also lists the same sequence under 2 other names. Lineage: Eukaryota; Viridiplantae; Streptophyta; Bryopsida; Grimmiales; Grimmiaceae. The record is from RNAcentral.